RNAcentral lists this unclassified non-coding RNA (216 nucleotides) under rhizosphere metagenome. Its description in RNAcentral is "partial ribosomal RNA internal transcribed spacer region". The record is from RNAcentral.
GUAGGUGAACCUGCGGAGGGAUCAUUAAUCGUAACUCCUCCCGCCCUCCGGGGCGGUGGCAGGAUGCAACGAAACCCACUGUUGUCCGACCGCGUUGCCUCGGGGGCGGCUCUCCGGAGCCCCCCCGGUGGACCAAACCAAACUCUUGCGUAACAUUGCAGUCUGAGUGAUUUAUUAAAUGAAUCAAAACUUUCAACAACGGAUCUCUUGGUUCUG